GCUUUUGUGAAUGGAUUAUGGUAGAAUGCUCGCCUGCCACGCAGGCGGCCCGGGUUCGAUUCCCGGCCGAUGCA
Molecule: non-coding RNA, 74 nt
Organism: Cordylochernes scorpioides
Lineage: Eukaryota; Metazoa; Arthropoda; Arachnida; Pseudoscorpiones; Chernetidae
Source: the annotation of a GenBank genome assembly